ACAUUUAUAGUAUAAUUAAUUAUGUUGCUUUUCCAAAGCAGAUAUCUAAGAAAUUUAGUGAAUGUA
This 66-nucleotide transfer RNA is filed under the name Enterogyrus malmbergi. Its description in RNAcentral is "tRNA-Gly". The record is from RNAcentral. Lineage: Eukaryota; Metazoa; Platyhelminthes; Monogenea; Dactylogyridea; Ancyrocephalidae.